AUUUAAUUUGGCUUUGGUUAUAAUAUAAAUUAUUAUUAAAUUAAUAUAUGUUAGAUUUUAAAAAUAUACGUUUUAUUUAUUUAUUUGAUUAUUAAUUUGUUUAAUAUAAGUUAAAUAAUAAAAUAAUUAUUAUUAGUAAUUUACUAUAAUAAUAGAGGUAAAUUACGCAGUAUUUAUUAUUAUACAAUGAAUGAAAGUUUGAUAUAAUUAAUGUAGUAUAAAAGUGGUUAAAUUAGUGCCAGCAUCUGCGGUUAUACUAAUGCUUUAAGUUUAUAUUUAUAUAGUAUAAAAUAAAGUAGUGAUAUAUAUUAAUAUUUAGAAUAAUUAAGGACAAUAAUUGGAGGUAAAAUUUAAUAAUUGUUAUUAAUUAUAGUAUUCUGAUUGUAAAUUCUUUGAAAAUAAGGAUGAAAACUAGGAUUAGAUACCCUAUUAUUCUUUAUUUUAAAAAUUUUAUUACUUAAGUAGUGUGAACAAUUAAUUUAUAAAAAAUAGUAUAAGUGAUAUAAAGUUAGAAUGUUUGAAACUUAAAAGGCUUGGCGGUGUUAUAUAUCCUUCCAGAGGAGUUUGCUUAUUAAUUUGAUAAUCCUCAAUUUAUACUUACUUUUUUUUGAAUUUUAUAAAGUAAAGAUCAGUUUGUAUAUUGCUGUCUUCAGUUUAUUUUGUAAAAAUUUUAUAAGAAACUUAAUAAUGAAAUGAUUAUUAUGUCAAGUCAAAAUGCAGCUAAUAAAAAAGGUUUAAAGUGAACUACAAUUUAUAAUUUUUAAUUCGGAUUAAGUUAUGUAAUUAAUUUGUGAAGUUGGAUUUGGUAGUAAUAUUAUAAUAGUGAGUUUUUGUGAAUUAGGUUUUAUAAUGCGUACAUAUCGCCCGUCGCUCUUGCUGGAAAAUAAGAUAAGUCGUAACAUAGUAGAUGUAGUGGAAACUGUUUCUGGGUUAAU
RNAcentral lists this non-coding RNA (935 nucleotides) under Adinaefiola ligulata. RNAcentral describes it as "12S ribosomal RNA". The stretch from base 507 to 928 matches the Rfam family "Microsporidia small subunit ribosomal RNA", at positions 752 to 1303 of the family's 1311-position model. Lineage: Eukaryota; Metazoa; Mollusca; Cephalopoda; Sepiida; Sepiolidae. The record is from RNAcentral.